GACGAACGCUGGCGGCGUGCUUAACACAUGCAAGUCGAACGGUAAGGCCCUUCGGGGUACACGAGUGGCGAACGGGUGAGUAACACGCGGGUGAUCUGCCCUGCACUUCGGGAUAAGCCUGGGAAACUGGGUCUAAUACCGGAUAGGACCACUGCCUGCAUGGGUGGUGGUGGAAAGCUUUUGCGGUGUGGGAUGGGCCCGCGGCCUAUCAGCUUGUUGGUGGGGUGAUGGCCUACCAAGGCGACGACGGGUAGCCGGCCUGAGAGGGUGACCGGCAACACUGGGACUGAGAUACGGCCCAGGCUCCUACGGGAGGCAGCAGUGGGGAAUAUUGCACAAUGGGCGCAAGCCUGAUGCAGCGACGCCGCGUGAGGGAUGACGGCCUUCGGGUUGUAAACCUCUUUCAGCACCGACGAAGCGCAAGUGACGGUAGGUGCAGAAGAAGGACCGGCCAACUACGUGCCAGCCGCCGCCGUAA
This 478-nucleotide ribosomal RNA is filed under the name uncultured bacterium. RNAcentral's name for it is "partial 16S ribosomal RNA". It matches the Rfam family "Bacterial small subunit ribosomal RNA", at positions 28 to 523 of the family's 1533-position model. The record is from RNAcentral.